AACGAACGCUGGCGGCAUGCCUAACACAUGCAAGUCGAACGAGACCUUCGGGUCUAGUGGCGCACGGGUGCGUAACGCGUGGGAACCUGCCCUUAGGUUCGGAAUAACUCCCCGAAAGGGGUGCUAAUACCGGAUAAUGUCUUCGGACCAAAGAUUUAUCGCCUUUGGAUGGGCCCGCGUUGGAUUAGCUAGUUGGUAGGGUAAAAGCCUACCAAGGCGACGAUCCAUAGCUGGUCUGAGAGGAUGAUCAGCCACACUGGGACUGAGACACGGCCCAGACUCCUACGGGAGGGAGCAGUGGGGAAUAUUGGACAAUGGGCGAAAGCCUGAUCCAGCAAUGCCGCGGGAGUGAUGAAGGCCUUAGGGUUGUAAAGCUCUUUUACCCGGGAUGAUAAUGACAGUACCGGGAGAAUAAGCUCCGGCUAACUCCGUG
RNAcentral lists this ribosomal RNA (433 nucleotides) under uncultured bacterium. RNAcentral describes it as "partial 16S ribosomal RNA". It matches the Rfam family "Bacterial small subunit ribosomal RNA", at positions 29 to 507 of the family's 1533-position model. The record is from RNAcentral.